UAACAAAGAAAAUACACACGGCGACCGAAUUUUAUAAUUUAAAAAAUAUUUCUGAAAAUCAUUUGAAUUAAAUGAUAAAGCGGCCAUAGGAGGGUAUCUUAAAAUAUUGUAUUGGAAAAUCCAGUCUUCUAAGGCGUACAAAAAAUAUAUAAUGCCACUGUGUGUAGACUCGUUAUUUGAAUUGUUGUCAGUCGGUCAAAAAAAGCAGAAAGCUGAUCUUCCCGUUUUACAAAAGACAGUUCUCGGCUAGAUAGUAGUACAUGUACCUCUAAAAGCGCCAGAUGCGUUAAGGACCUGUAGUACCGUACGUGUAUCGGCAGUCUUCAACAUAACGACUGCUUUCGGCAUGGUUUGGUUACCCAGUACUUUCAAUUGCGGGUGUCUCUAUUGACAGCCAUAUCAACAUUUUCUCCUCUCAAGAAAAAAACCUUGAUGAACUGAGCUACAGACUCAACGCUGGACUAAAACGCAACCUACUAAGUUGUCGUUUUUUGUUUCAUCCGGCCUGUAAGUCGACACUUCGAAGUGCGGAACGAUGUCAUGCUGAGCAAAUUGCGCAAGUUACCAUGAGGUCUUGUUGUAGUUUGAGGUCGGAUAUUGAAUGGUUCGAAAACAAAUUCGCAUUUUAUUAUUAAAAAGCUAUCCGUUUGUUACCUGCCAUAUCUCAUCGAUAGCAACCUUUUACUUCAGCAGUGUAUAUAAAGGGUCUGACAUAGGCCGCAAUCCAUUGCCAGCUGUCUCAUUAUAUGCAG
Molecule: long non-coding RNA, 752 nt
Organism: Drosophila teissieri
Lineage: Eukaryota; Metazoa; Arthropoda; Insecta; Diptera; Drosophilidae
Exons: 3
Source: RefSeq, a predicted model, not a curated record